This 1008-nucleotide long non-coding RNA is filed under the name Marmota marmota marmota (Alpine marmot). Its description in RNAcentral is "lncRNA (ENSMMMG00000001704.1)". Lineage: Eukaryota; Metazoa; Chordata; Mammalia; Rodentia; Sciuridae. The record is from RNAcentral.
GAGAGCGUGGAAGCGCCGAGAGCCCGGGCCGGAGAGGUGCGGGGGAGGGGGGAGCCGAGCCCGAGCGGGGGGCGGCCGGGGAACCGAGAACUCCGCCCCCGGCCCCCCCAGCCCGCUAUCACAGCGAAAUCCCAGAGUCGGGCGCCCGCCCCAAGUGGAGACAAAGAGCUGCGGAGCGGGCGGCAAAGUCGUCGGCGGGCGCCGAGGCCGGGCGGCGGGAGCGGGCUUUGUGCUCCUAGGGCUCGGCGGGCUGCAGCCGGCCGCCUUCCCCUGGCUGCGUGGACAGUGUCAACGCCUGGGGCUGCGUGGACAUCGUCGGCUCCCCGGCAGGUCCAGAGCUGGGUCCCAGGGCCGGGGGCUCCUCCCGGGGCGAGCGCGGGUCCCCUUUGGAUUACUCAGCGCGUAGAACCUGGAGCGGGGUGCGCGGGGGCAACCCCAAGCAUCCGGGGCGAGCGGGUCUGAUCCUAGAGGCAGCCGGGUCGGGGACUCGCGACGAGAAGAGGAAGAAGGCAGGCACUGAAGGUGGCUGCUCGGGGCCGCAGGAGCGCGGGAGGGUGAGGGCUGGAGCCCGGCGCGGGCGCUUCGACGCCCCCCCUCGGAGAGGAGAGCCUGCUGUUCCGUCUGCUACUGCCGCCGACGCCGCCGCCAACCCUUCCCAGGGCCGGGGAGGAACUCCGGGUUCAGUAGGUGCAAAUCAAUCGCCCUGGCAUCUUAUUCCAGCGAGCACGGGAAACCUCAGCAAAGGGGUCCUCGCUGCUCCCAACUUGAGCUAUGCGAACCCAGCGAGGAGCGCUCGGCGCCACCGCCGCUGCCGCCUCACAGCGCGCAGGCAGGAGAGCGCUGGAGGAGAGACGCAGCCUGAGACAGGGAGCUCUGCGGCUUCCUUCCUUCCCCUCGGCCCGGCUCUCUCCGAGCCCCGAGAAACCCCCGAACACAAACAACACACACACACACCAAAAAAAGUGCCUCGGACCUGCGGAUACCACACACAGACAGGCGAGGGGGACG